CUACUAGGGUAUCUAAUCCUGUUUGCUCCCCACGCUUUCGCACCUCAGCGUCAAUACAUGUCCAGUUAGUCGCCUUCGCCACUGGUGUUCUUCCGAAUAUCUACGAAUUUCACCUCUACACUCGGAAUUCCACUAACCUCUCCAUGAUUCAAGCGAUGCAGUCUUAAAGGCAGUUCCGGAGUUGAGCCCCGGGCUUUCACCUCUAACUUACAAAGCCGCCUACGUGCGCUUUACGCCCAGUAAUUCCGAACAACGCUAGCCCCCUCCGUAUUACCGCGGCUGCUGGCAC
RNAcentral lists this ribosomal RNA (289 nucleotides) under uncultured Sphingomonas sp. Its description in RNAcentral is "partial 16S ribosomal RNA". The record is from RNAcentral. Lineage: Bacteria; Pseudomonadati; Pseudomonadota; Alphaproteobacteria; Sphingomonadales; Sphingomonadaceae.